This 216-nucleotide ribosomal RNA is filed under the name Glomeromycotina sp. Its description in RNAcentral is "partial small subunit ribosomal RNA". The stretch from base 40 to 216 matches the Rfam family "Eukaryotic small subunit ribosomal RNA", at positions 686 to 864 of the family's 1831-position model. Lineage: Eukaryota; Fungi; Glomeromycota. The record is from RNAcentral.
GGGUCAGUAGGUUGGUCGUGCCACCGGUACGUACUGGUCUCACUGAUUCCUCCUUCCUGAAGAACCGUAAUGCCAUUAAUUUAGUGUAGCGGGGAAACAGGACUGUUACUUUGAAAAAAUUAGAGUGUUUAAAGCAAGCUAACGCUUGAAUCGAUUAGCAUGGAAUAAUGAAAUAGGACGAUCGAUCCUAUUUUGUUGGUUUCUAGGAUUGACGUA